RNAcentral lists this ribosomal RNA (512 nucleotides) under uncultured bacterium. RNAcentral's name for it is "bacterial SSU rRNA". It matches the Rfam family "Bacterial small subunit ribosomal RNA", at positions 8 to 526 of the family's 1533-position model. The record is from RNAcentral.
AGAGUUUGAUCAUGGCUCAGGACGAACGCUGGCGGCGUGCUUAACACAUGCAAGUCGAACGCUGAAGCUUGGAGCUUGCUCUGGGUGGAUGAGUGGCGAACGGGUGAGUAACACGUGAGUAACCUGCCCCGAACUCUGGGAUAAGCGCUGGAAACGGCGUCUAAUACUGGAUAUGUCCUGUCACCGCAUGGUGUGCAGGUGGAAAGAUUUAUCGGUUCGGGAUGGACUCGCGGCCUAUCAGCUUGAUGGUGAGGUAAUGGCUCACCAUGGCGACGACGGGUAGCCGGCCUGAGAGGGUGACCGGCCACACUGGGACUGAGACACGGCCCAGACUCCUACGGGAGGCAGCAGUGGGGAAUAUUGCACAAUGGGCGCAAGCCUGAUGCAGCAACGCCGCGUGAGGGAUGACGGCCUUCGGGUUGUAAACCUCUUUUGUCAGGGAAGAAGCCUUCGGGUGACGGUACCUGGAGAAAAAGCACCGGCUAACUACGUGCCAGCCGCCGCGGUAAUUC